RNAcentral lists this ribosomal RNA (213 nucleotides) under Triticum aestivum (bread wheat). RNAcentral describes it as "partial small subunit ribosomal RNA". The record is from RNAcentral. Lineage: Eukaryota; Viridiplantae; Streptophyta; Magnoliopsida; Poales; Poaceae.
AUGAAGGUUUUGAGUUGGAAUUGUAAUGUACUGGGGAACGCCCCGGCGGUUCGUGCCUUGCUGGACGUCCAGCGAAGAUGCCAACCUGAUGUGUUGUUUUUGUCGGAGACACACCUAGAUAGCUACCCGGCUGAAGGCUUGAGGAGAAGAUUGAAGAUGGAUCAGAAACUUGUGUGCCCUAGUGAUGGUAGGAAGGGAGGGUUAUUGCUGUUU